CACGUAGGGUGCGAGCGUUAAUCGGAAUUACUGGGCGUAAAGCGCACGUAGGCGGCUUGGUAUGUCGGGUGUGAAAUCCCCGGGCUCAACCUGGGAACUGCAUCCGAAACUGCCUUGCUCGAGUAUGGGAGAGGGAAGUGGAAUUUCCGGUGUAGCGGUGAAAUGCGUAGAUAUCGGAAGGAACAUCAGUGGCGAAGGCGACUUCCUGGACCAAUACUGACGCUCAGGUGCGAAAGCGUGGGGAGCAAACAGG
This 253-nucleotide ribosomal RNA is filed under the name uncultured bacterium. Its description in RNAcentral is "partial 16S ribosomal RNA". It matches the Rfam family "Bacterial small subunit ribosomal RNA", at positions 524 to 776 of the family's 1533-position model. The record is from RNAcentral.